AGAGUUUGAUCCUGGCUCAGAUUGAACGCUGGCGGCAGGCCUAACACAUGCAAGUCGAACGGUAACAGGAAGCAGCUUGCUUCUCGCUGACGAGCGGCGGACGGGUGAGUAAUGUAUGGGGAUCUGCCCGAUAGAGGGGGAUAACUACUGGAAACGGUAGCUAAUACCGCAUAAUCUCUAAGGAGCAAAGCAGGGGAACUUCGGUCCUUGCGCUAUCGGAUGAACCCAUAUGGGAUUAGCUAGUUGGUGAGGUAAUGGCUCACCAAGGCGAUGAUACAUAGCCGACCUGAGAGGGUGAUCGGCCACAUUGGGACUGAGACACGGCCCAAACUCCUACGGGAGGCAGCAGUGGGGAAUAUAGCACAAUGGGCGCAAGCCUGAUGCAGCCAUGCCGCGUGUAUGAAGAAGGCCUUCGGGUUGUAAAGUACUUUCAGCGGGGAGGAAGGCGAUAAGGUUAAUAACCUUGUCGAUUGACGUUACCCGCAGAAGAAGCACCGGCUAACUCCGUGCCAGCCGCCGCGGUAAUUC
RNAcentral lists this ribosomal RNA (528 nucleotides) under uncultured bacterium. RNAcentral describes it as "bacterial SSU rRNA". It matches the Rfam family "Bacterial small subunit ribosomal RNA", at positions 8 to 526 of the family's 1533-position model. The record is from RNAcentral.